GGAAUUUGGGCACGAUGUAAUCGUCACCAUAAACACUAUGAGUUAGUGUAUUUGUUGGUCAAAAUUAGAGUUAUGUUGAAUGAGAAAUGGAGGUCCAAAGUGAGUGACAUGCAAAACUUAUAAAGUUUUAAAUUUGGCUAAAUAUAAAAGAUUUAGCAAAUUGGAUCACUUUGGAUAUAUGGGUUAGAAUUUGAAUUUGAAUUUGUUAAUUGGACAUUAUGUCAAUCAACUUAUUUAGUUAUUCUUAUUCAUGAUAAUUUAUAUAUCUAUAUAUAAAAAUUAUAAACCCAAGCAAAGUAUAGUAAAGGUUGUUGAAUUGGUCAAAACCAAGACAUUACUUUGCAAAGCUAACUUACGAGAAUCUUGGAAAUCAAUGUCAUUACUACAAUUGAUUCGUACGUUGGCUAACUCCUUAAAUUGCAUAACGUGCACUUUCUCUUGAUUAUAAAAGGAGAGCACUUGUGUAGAAAGCAACAUACCCGAGACAAAACAAUUCCUCAUAUUAUUAUUUUUCUUCUUUCUCUUUGAUAUUUUCUUUGAGUCUGAGAGUAUACACAAAACUAGUUUCGCCAGGCUUCUGAUAGAGUGACGCAAAUCAGAAGAUUUUUUUUUUGCAGUUGUAUUUUGGGACUCAUUACGUUAUCUAACCGUCGCACUACGAGACGUAUUUUGAGUUAAGGAAAGAGAUAAUAUCUCGCCUCUGCAGUUGUAUCAUCCUUUUCUUAAUCUUUGGUAUACUUUUAUCAAUUUUAUUCUUUACAAUAUUCAGCUCUCCGUAGUUUAUGUAAUACGGUCUUAUCAGUCUUAACUCAAAAUAUCCGUUUAUUGUUUUGCACUAACCGGACUGAUUAUUGUAUAAGUUUUUUGUUUAAGAACAGGUUGAUUGAUAUUUUCUAAAAAAGUGUUGGAAUCGGAAUUGGGCUCCGAUUGCUCUUGGUGUCAGCGUUAAAGUCAUAUUCUUGCUCUAACGUUUUUUUUAUUUUACAGGAUCUAUUGGAUUAUUUUUAUAUAUUUCUGCAAUUUACGCUUCUGUAUUGAUAUUUCUAAACGGGAUUUCAUUCAGAUUUGGUUAAAAGUCUUUAAAAAAAUAUAAAUCGUUGUUUUCAACCUCGUCGCUUUCUUUUGUUUAACGUCAAGAGUAAAAGGAUAAACAAAAAAAAAUAUAUUGCCGUCUUUUAUUUGUCAAAGGUUGAUUUCUGUAGUGGUUCAAUUAUUUGGUUUACGUUCCUGGUUUAAUUUAAUUUCCAACCAGCAAUCAAUCGUUUCUUUGGUUAUUAAUAUUUUCAUUUCAUUUGGUUACUUGUGGUAACGUAAGAUUGAUUUUUUUAUCAUUUGACCAGCUGAUACUUUCUGUCCUGACGUUUGCUUUAGAAAUUAAUCCGGUAUAAUUCUUUGACAUUGCGUUUCAUAGAGUCGCACCGUUAAAGAUUCAGAUUUUAUAUUUUCUGAUUUUUGUUUGUUAGAUCAUUAUUUGUGUUGGGUAUCUGAAAUAUACUAAUCUUUUGUUGGAUUUUGUGAGCAGAUUCAAAAUUCAAGUAUGUCUUAUAACACAAAUUUAUCGAUCUUUGAUAGAUCAAAUGGUGUGAUCGGCAAUGGAUUGAACGAGUCGACGCCUCAAAUUAAGUUUGAGAGUGGUCUGCCAUUUAUGAUUCCAUUUGCUAUGAAAACUGAGAUGUCUGCUGAAAUUAAUCAGAGUAUACAGAUUGAAAAUGACAUGUGUGCUAUGGUCACAGAAGUCAAUACGUUUGAAAAUAAUUCAAAAGACUGGUGGUAUGACACAGGUGCCACCACUCACAUAUGCAUUGAUAAGAACAUGUUUUGUACUUAUCAAAAAUGCAAUGAUGAGGAGCGGUUGUUAAUGAAUAACACCGACUCGUCUAUUAUUGAAGGUUGUGGCGAAGUGAAACUUGCGCUAACUUUUGGACAAGAGAUAAUUCUCAAAAAUGUGAAAUAUGUCCCAGAUAUGCGAAAGAAUCUUAUUUCCGGUUCGCUAUUAAGCAAAGCUGGAUUUGUAGUAACUUUCGAGUCUGAUAAACUUGUCCUAAAGAAAAAUGAUAUUUUCUUGGGCAAAGGAUUUGUUGAGGAUGGACUGGUCAAAAUGUGUAUUAAGACAGUCUUAUUCGCAGAUGAACCAAAUGCUUAUUUGGUUGAACCGUUCAAAGUUUGGCAUGAAAGAUUGGGGCAUGUAAAUUAUAAAUCUGUUCAAAGAUUGAUUAAUUUAAACCUAAUUCCGAAAUGCAAAUUGAGCAAAGAGAAAUGUGAAGUAUGCGUACAAGCAAAACUCACAAAAACUCCAUUCCCUCAUGUUGAGAGAACAACUGAGCCUCUUGGUUUAAUUCAUACAGAUUUGUGUGAUUUAAAAUUUGUUCAAACUCGAAAUGGAAAAAAAUAUUUUGUGAUUUUCAUAGAUGAUUGUACAAAAUAUUGUUAUGUCUAUUUGCUAAGAAGCAAAGAUGAAGCCUUGGAAAAAUACAAGGAAUAUAAACUCGAGGUUGAAAACCAACUCGGUAGAACUAUAAAGAUAGUUCGAAGUGAUAGAGGAGGUGAAUAUGAUGGACCAUUUGAUGUGUUCUGUAAAGAGCAUGGCAUUAUUCAUCAAACCACCGCUCCCUAUUCACCUCAAUCUAACGGAGUUGCGGAGCGUAAAAACCGAACUCUUAAAGAGAUGAUGAAUGCAAUGUUGCAGGAAUCUGGGUUAGCCCAGAACAUGUGGGGGGAAGCUUUGCUUUCUACAAAUUAUAUCCUCAACAAAAUACCAAACAAAGUCACUGGUAAAACACCAUAUGAACUUUGGAAAGGUGUUGUACCUUCGUACAAAUACUUGAAAGUGUGGGGGUGCCUUGCAAAAGUAGCAGUACCACCUCCCAAGAAGGUUUCAAUCGGACCUAAAACCGUGGAUUGUAUUUUCAUCGGAUAUGCCCAUAAUAGUGGUGCUUAUCGAUUUUUGGUAGAUAAAUCAGAUGUACCAGAUAUUCAUGUUAAUACAAUUAUGGAAUCAAGGAAUGCAUCUUUCUUUGAACACGUGUUUCCGUGUAAGAAUAGAGAUAAUCCUAAAAGAACUCAUGAAGUAAGAGAUGCAAACAUCUUUACAAAUGAGGCAAGUACUUCUGGCACAUCUUUUGAUGAUGCAGAAAUAUUUGCAGAUGAACCUAGACGCAGCAAAAGAGCUCGUAAGGAAAAAUCUUAUGGUGAAGAUUUCUUUAUGGUCUUUCUUCUUGAGAAUGAACCAAGAAGUUUCGCUGAAGCUAUGUCUUCACCAGACGCUGAUUUAUGGAAGGAAGCUUUCAAUAGUGAAAUCGACUCCAUUAUGCAAAAUCAUACAUAUUAUUUGACCGAUUUGCCCCAAGGGUUUAAGGCCCUAGGGUGUAGAUGGAUUUGCAAAAGAAAGUUGAAUAUUGAUGGCUCAACUGAUAAGUACAAGUGUAGACUUGUGGUGCAAGGUUUCCGGCAAAAAGAAGGCUUGGAUUUCUUUGACACCUAUUCUCCGGUAACGAGAAUAACUUCAAUCAGAAUGCUGAUUGCAAUUGCAGCAUUGAGAAACCUAGAAAUCCAUCAGAUGGAUGUCAAAACUGCUUUUCUAAAUGGUGAUUUAGAGGAGGAGAUUUAUAUGCAACAACCUGAAGGGUUGGUUGUCCCAGGACAAGAACACAAAGUCUGUCGACUAGUAAAAUCAUUGUAUGGACUUAAGCAAACUCCAAAACAAUGGCAUGAAAAAUUUGACAAUGUUAUGAUGUCAAAUGGUUUCAGCAUUAAUGAAUGUGACAAGUGUAUAUACUUUAAAAAUACACCACAUGGAUAUGUAUUGCUUGGCUUGUAUGUAGAUGACAUGCUCAUUAUUGGUAGCAAUAAAGACAUGGUCAGUCAAACAAAGAACAUGCUAAGUAGCAAGUUCGAAAUGAAAGAUAUGGGACUAGCUGAUGUUAUCCUAGGGAUUAAGAUCUUUCGUAAUUCCGAAGGAAUCAUCUUGUCUCAAACUCAUUAUGCUGAAAAGAUACUUGAGAGGUUUAAAUCCUACUCAAAAGGAAAGGCAAAAACUCCUGUAGACCCUAGGUUUCACUUGACAAAACAUUCGGGUGAAGCAGUGUUACAGUAAGAGUAUGCUCGUGUCAUCGGAAGUUUGAUGUACUUGACAAAUUGUACUAGACCUGAUUUAGCACAUGCAGUCAAUGUACUGAGUCGCUACACGAGUAAUCCAGGGCAAAACCACUGGAAUGCUAUAACAAGAGUAUCAGACUAUGUACGUCAUACUAAAACUUAUGGGCUGACCUAUGGUAAAGAACCAUCAGUUUUGGAAGGAUACAGUGAUGCCAACUGGAUUUCCGACUCCAAAAACUCUAAAUCCACGAGUGGAUAUGUUUUUACACUUGGUGGUGCCGCAGUUUCUUGGAAGUCUUCCAAACAAACUGUCUUGGCCAGAUCGACCAUGGAAUCUGAGUUCAUAGCUUUAGAUAAAGCUGCAGAAGAAGCAGAGUGGCUUCGAAAUUUUUUGGAAGAUAUUCCUAUGUGGGAUAAACCAGUGUCGGCAUUACGUAUACAUUGUGAUAGCCAAGCGGCAAUAGGCCGGGCACUGAGCAGUUUGUAUAAUGGUAAAUCUCGUCAUAUAAGAAGACGUCAUAAAACCAUUAGACACUUGAUCUCAACUGGUGUAAUAACGAUUGAUUACAUCAGAACAAAUGAAAACCUUGCGGAUCCAUUUACUAAAGGUUUGUCACGAGAUCAAGUAGAAAAAUCAUCAAGAGGAAUGGGUUUAAAGCCUGUGAAUUAAGAUGAGGUUUGGCGGUAACUCUACCUAAUUGACUGGAGAUCCCAAGAAAUAGGUUCAAGGAGACAACUAAGUCAAACUAAAUCUGCCCAAAGCACUGUCAGACUUCGGUCUAUACCCAGUUCUUAGGAUGAUUAAACAGUGCUACAUGUAACGAAUAUAGGAUAAGCAUUAGCUUUUAAUGAUUUGUGUCCAUUGUUUUGAGAUAUGAAUGGAGUAGUACAUGAUACUCCUCUAAACAAAACUAAUGGCAAAUCACCUUGUGAGUGUGAAAUGGGGCCGUUUCUAGGAGAAUGAAGGAAAGGCUAUAUUCUCCAAGUUCACUCAUGAUUACCAAGAAUGUUCACGGCCAAAAUGAACACAAUAGAGAAAUUAGUUUUUGUGAGAGAAUGAAGCUGUGUUAUAGCUAUUGUCUCGGUUUACACCAAAGUCCGGGGGGUUCAAGACAUCAUGGCCACCUCCUGUUCGAGUAAAUCCGAUAGCUAUUAACAAUGACUGGUUCAAGGCUGAAAAAUUGCUACCAACUCAUCAUGCAGUGGAUUUUUCGCUCAUACUCUCAAAAGUUUUCUUUUUCUUGAGUCAUGUGUAUAGAGUCAUUUCUAUUCAUGUGGGGGAUUGUUGGAACUCGUUUUUGACAAAGUGGUGCUUACCAUUUUUCCGAUGGGUUUUUCGACGGUGACGUCUGUCGGAAGAACCGGAAUUUGGGCACGAUGUAAUCGUCACCAUAAACACUAUGAGUUAGUGUAUUUGUUGGUCAAAAUUAGAGUUAUGUUGAAUGAGAAAUGGAGGUCCAAAGUGAGUGACAUGCAAAACUUAUAAAGUUUUAAAUUUGGCUAAAUAUAAAAGAUUUAGCAAAUUGGAUCACUUUGGAUAUAUGGGUUAGAAUUUGAAUUUGAAUUUGUUAAUUG
RNAcentral lists this long non-coding RNA (5670 nucleotides) under Brassica rapa (field mustard). RNAcentral describes it as "long non-coding RNA (BRAP_LNC002129)". Lineage: Eukaryota; Viridiplantae; Streptophyta; Magnoliopsida; Brassicales; Brassicaceae. The record is from RNAcentral.